This 69-nucleotide transfer RNA is filed under the name Salmo salar (Atlantic salmon). It matches the Rfam family "tRNA", at positions 8 to 63 of the family's 71-position model. From Rfam's summary of the family: Transfer RNA (tRNA) molecules are approximately 80 nucleotides in length. Lineage: Eukaryota; Metazoa; Chordata; Actinopteri; Salmoniformes; Salmonidae. The record is from Rfam by way of RNAcentral.
UAGCUCAGUUGGUAGAGCAUGGUGUUUGCGAUGCGUUUGCAACGCCAGGGUUGUGGGUUCGAUUCCCAC